RNA transcript from Nannospalax galili (Upper Galilee mountains blind mole rat), 2133 nucleotides. It is a transcript of the gene named tubulin beta-7 chain pseudogene, with no coding region annotated. The record is from RefSeq and is a predicted model, not a curated record. Lineage: Eukaryota; Metazoa; Chordata; Mammalia; Rodentia; Spalacidae. The transcript has a single exon.
CUCCGGCCUCCGGGACCACGUUCCAUUCUUCCAGCCCGCGACCAGCCCAGAAAAAAAAAAAUCCUUACUAAUAUCUUUUCUUGCUCGGUACAUACCUUGAAGCGAGCAAAAAUUUGUUGCAGUCAACCGUAACCAUGAGGGAAAUCGUGCACAUCCAGGCCGGUCAGUGUGGCAAACAGAUUGGUGCCAAGUUCUGGGAGAUGAUCAGCGAUGAGCACGGCAUCGACCCCACCGGUACCCACCAUGGGGACAGCAAUUUGCAGCUGGAUCCCAUCUCGGUGUAACUACAACGAAGCCACAGGCGGCAAGUAUGUUCCUCGAGCUAUCCUGGUGGAUCUAGAACCUGGGACCAUGGACUCUGUUCGCUCAGGUCCUUUUGGCCAGAUCUUCAGACCAGACAACUUUGUUUUUGGUCAGUCCGGGGCAGGUAACAACUGGGCCAAGGGCCACUACACAGAGGGGGCGGAGCUGGUCGACUCUGUCCUGGAUGUGGUACGGAAGGAGGCCGAGAGCUGUGACUGCCUGCAGGGCUUCCAGCUGACCCACUCGCUGGGUGGAGGCACUGGGUCUGGAAUGGGCACCCUGCUCAUCAGCAAGAUCCGAGAAGAGUACCCUGACCGCAUCAUGAACACCUUCAGCGUGGUGCCCUCACCCAAAGUGUCCGACACAGUGGUGGAGCCCUAUAAUGCCACCCUCUCCGUCCAUCAGCUGGUAGAGAACACUGAUGAGACCUACUGCAUUGACAAUGAGGCCCUCUACGACAUCUGCUUCCGUACCCUGAAGCUCACCACGCCCACCUAUGGGGACCUGAACCACCUGGUCUCAGCCACUAUGAGCGGCGUCACCACCUGCCUGUGCUUCCCUGGCCAGCUCAAUGCUGACCUCCGCAAGCUGGCAGUUAACAUGGUGCCCUUCCCACGGCUCCACUUCUUCAUGCCUGGCUUUGCUCCUCUCACCAGCUGUGGAAGCCAGCAGUAUCGGGCCCUCACCGUGCCUGAACUCACCCAGCAGGUCUUCGAUGCCAAAAACAUGAUGGCUGCCUGUGACCCCUUUGCCCCCAUGCCAUGGCCGGUACCUCACCGUGGCCGCUGUCUUCCGUGGGCGCAUGUCCAUGAAGGAGGUGGACGAGCAGAUGCUGAAUGUGCAAAAUAAGAACAGCAGCUACUUCGUGGAAUGGAUCCCCAACAACGUCAAGACCGCUGUCUGUGACAUCCCUCCACGUGGCCUCAAGAUGGCUGUCACCUUCAUUGGCAACAGCACAGCCAUCCAGGAGCUCUUCAAGCGCAUCUCCGAGCAGUUUACAGCCAUGUUCCGCCGGAAGGCUUUCCUCCACUGGUACACAGGUGAGGGUAUGGAUGAGAUGGAGUUCACUGAAGCCAAGAGCAACAUGAACGACCUCGUCUCCGAGUACCAGCAGUACCAGGAUGCCACUGCAGAAGAGGAAGAGGAUUUCGGUGAGGAGGCAGAAGAGGAGGCCUAAAGGCAGAGCCCUGCGUCACCUCAGGCUUCCCAGUUCCCUCAGCUUUCUUCACCUGCCCCUUUCCUCCUUCAGAAUUUAUUUCUACUGCCUCUGUCCUGGUUUUUUGUUUUGGGGGGUGAAUAGUGCCUGGCACACAGUAGGCGCUCAAUAAAUAUUUGUUUGUGGAACGUCUCCUUUCUCUUUCCACUCUGAUGGACCUAGCUUUCUGCCCUUCUGGGUUACCUUUUAUUUCCUCCUGGUACCCACUUCUCAUAACUGUUCAGUUUAAUAUUCUCCCAGAAAAAUUUUCCAGGAAACUUGAGUCUCUUCCAGAUCCCAUUUAGAACCAGCCCAGUGCUGAAAACCGACAGUGGCCACCAUCCCAAGCCUAAGUAGUAGAUGACGGAAUGGGGGUUGGGGAUGGCAGGUCCCAGUCACUGGCAGGAAGAGGGUGGGUUUUCAGUCUGUUUUUCACCUAUUCCAUCUCAGCCUCAGGAGGGGACUAUACAGUAUUAUCUCCACCUACAGUCCCCCAGCUGUCCUCAGCUGCAUCUGUCUUUGGAAGUGUCUGUCUGUUGCUUUGGGUCACUCCCCCACCCCCAUUUUUCCUACACUUCAGAUUUCUAUUUUGUGUUGAACUUGCUUUUUUUUUCAUAUUGAAAAGAUGACAUUUC